Molecule: long non-coding RNA, 489 nt
Filed under: Struthio camelus australis
Lineage: Eukaryota; Metazoa; Chordata; Aves; Struthioniformes; Struthionidae
Description: lncRNA (ENSSCUG00000008642.1)
Source: RNAcentral
UGCCAGCUCUCAGACAACACUGCCUAACAGUUCCCCCAUCCCAAAGCAAACCCCCACGAUCACGGCUCCUGCUCGCCUACAUCAUACUCCUCCUGCCUCUGGCCCCUGCUUUCUAAAUCUGACCUACUAACCCUCAUUUAGCUGGACGCAUAGCUGCAAUGCUGGCUGAAAUCUUAUACAAUGUAUUCUGAAGUAGAGGCACAGCAAGCAAGAGCCUGGAGAUGUUGCCUUGCACAGGAGGGAACUAGUCCUUGGAGUCCAAGCACUAAACUAGAGGGAAGAUGGACAAGACACCACAAACAAGCAAAGGAAGUGAGACUCACCACUGAGGAUGUUCGCUUGAAUCAUUACCACUGGCAAAGAUACACAAGAAAGGAAGAUGCUAGAGUGAGCUCUCAGAUUCCAGGUUUUUCUACAGGAAUUCAGAGUAACAUGGUCCAAGCCCAUGAGAAACCACAGCUUGAAGCUGCAGUGCAGAAACAUCUCUGA